RNAcentral lists this transfer RNA (70 nucleotides) under Dopasia gracilis (Burmese glass lizard). RNAcentral's name for it is "tRNA-Ile". It matches the Rfam family "tRNA". Rfam says of the family: Transfer RNA (tRNA) molecules are approximately 80 nucleotides in length. The record is from RNAcentral. Lineage: Eukaryota; Metazoa; Chordata; Lepidosauria; Squamata; Anguidae.
GGAAUCGUGCCUGAACUAAAGGGCUAUUAUGAUAGAAUAAACUACACAGGUUAAAAUCCUGUCGCUUCCU